CACGGGGGGAGCAAGCGUUGUUCGGAAUUACUGGGCGUAAAGGGCGCGUAGGCGGACAGUUUAGUCAGAGGUGAAAGCCCAGGGCUCAACCUUGGAAUUGCCUUUGAUACUGGCUGUCUUGAGUUCGGGAGAGGUGAGUGGAAUGCCGAGUGUAGAGGUGAAAUUCGUAGAUAUUCGGCGGAACACCAGUGGCGAAGGCGACUCACUGGCCCGAUACUGACGCUGAGGCGCGAAAGCGUGGGGAGCAAACAGG
RNAcentral lists this ribosomal RNA (253 nucleotides) under uncultured bacterium. RNAcentral describes it as "partial 16S ribosomal RNA". It matches the Rfam family "Bacterial small subunit ribosomal RNA", at positions 524 to 776 of the family's 1533-position model. The record is from RNAcentral.